UCAGUAACACGUGGAUAACCUGCCCUUAGGGACUGGCAUAACCCCGGGAAAAUGGGGAUAAUUCCGGAUAGUUCAUGGUAGCUGGAAUGCUCCAUGAUCGAAAAGCUAUUGCGCCUAAGGAUGGGUCUGCGGUCUAUCAGGUAGUAGUGGGUGUAAUGUACCUACUAGCCGACGACGGAUACGGGUUGUGGGAGCAAGAGCCCGGAGAUGGAUUCUGAGACAUGAAUCCAGGCCCUACGGGGCGCAGCAGGCGCGAAAACUUUACAAUGCGGGAAACCGCGAUAAGGGGACACCGAGUGCCAGCAUCUUAUGUUGGCUGUCCGCAUGUAUAAAUCACAUGUGUUAGCAAGGGCCGGGCAAGACCGGUGCCAGCCGCCGCGGUAACACCGGCGGCCCGAGUGGUGGCCACUAUUAUUGGGUCUAAAGGGUCCGUAGCCGGUUUGGUCAGUCUUCCGGGAAAUCUGACGGCUUAACCGUUAGGCUUUCGGGGGAUACUACCAGGCUUGGGACCGGGAGAGGUAAGAGGUACUACGGGGGUAGGAGUGAAAUCUUGUAAUCCUCGUGGGACCACCAGUGGCGAAGGCGUCUUACCAGAACGGGUCCGACGGUGAGGGACGAAAGCUGGGGGCACGAACCGGAUUAGAUACCCGGGUAGUCCCAGCCGUAAACUAUGCUCGCUAGGUGUCAGGGACGGUGCGACCGUUUCUGGUGCCGCAGGGAAGCCGUGAAGCGAGCCACCUGGGAAGUACGGUCGCAAGGCUGAAACUUAAAGGAAUUGGCGGGGGAGCACUACAACGGGUGGAGCCUGCGGUUUAAUUGGACUCAACGCCGGAAAACUCACCGGGGGCGACAGCAAUAUGUAGUCAAG
RNAcentral lists this ribosomal RNA (868 nucleotides) under uncultured archaeon. RNAcentral describes it as "bacterial SSU rRNA". It matches the Rfam family "Archaeal small subunit ribosomal RNA", at positions 90 to 957 of the family's 1478-position model. The record is from RNAcentral.